AGCAGCCGCGGUAAUUCCAGCUCCAAUAGCGUAUAUUAAAGUUGUUGCAGUUAAAAAAGCUCGUAGUUGAAUUUCGGGGGUCAGUAGGUUGGUCAUGCCUCUGGUAUGUACUGGUCUCACUGAUUCCUCCUUCCUGAUGAGCCAUAAUGCCAUUAAUUUGGUGUUGCGGGGAAUCUGGACUGUUACUUUGAAAAAAUUAGAGUGUUUAAAGCAGGCUAACGCUUGAAUACAUUAGCAUGGAAUAAUGAAAUAGGACGUUCGAUCCUAUUUUGUUGGUUUCUAGGAUUGACGUAAUGAUUAAUAGGGAUAGUUGGGGGCAUUAGUAUUCAAUUGUCAGAGGUGAAAUUCUUGGAUUUUAUUGAAGACUAACUACUGCGAAAGCAUUUGCCAAGGAUGUUUUCAUUAAUCAAGAACGAAAGUUAGGGGAUCGAAGACGAUCAGAUACCGUCGUAGUCUUAACCAUAAACUAUGCCGACUAGGGAUCGGAUGAUGUUAAUUUUAUAAUGACUCAUUC
This 514-nucleotide ribosomal RNA is filed under the name uncultured Glomus. RNAcentral's name for it is "SSU rRNA". It matches the Rfam family "Eukaryotic small subunit ribosomal RNA", at positions 569 to 1081 of the family's 1831-position model. Lineage: Eukaryota; Fungi; Glomeromycota; Glomeromycetes; Glomerales; Glomeraceae. The record is from RNAcentral.